RNAcentral lists this ribosomal RNA (1265 nucleotides) under Enterococcus faecium. RNAcentral describes it as "bacterial SSU rRNA". It matches the Rfam family "Bacterial small subunit ribosomal RNA", at positions 103 to 1355 of the family's 1533-position model. Lineage: Bacteria; Bacillati; Bacillota; Bacilli; Lactobacillales; Enterococcaceae. The record is from RNAcentral.
CGGGUGAGUAACACGUGGGUAACCUGCCCAUCAGAAGGGGAUAACACUUGGAAACAGGUGCUAAUACCGUAUAACAAUCGAAACCGCAUGGUUUUGAUUUGAAAGGCGCUUUCGGGUGUCGCUGAUGGAUGGACCCGCGGUGCAUUAGCUAGUUGGUGAGGUAACGGCUCACCAAGGCCACGAUGCAUAGCCGACCUGAGAGGGUGAUCGGCCACAUUGGGACUGAGACACGGCCCAAACUCCUACGGGAGGCAGCAGUAGGGAAUCUUCGGCAAUGGACGAAAGUCUGACCGAGCAACGCCGCGUGAGUGAAGAAGGUUUUCGGAUCGUAAAACUCUGUUGUUAGAGAAGAACAAGGAUGAGAGUAACUGUUCAUCCCUUGACGGUAUCUAACCAGAAAGCCACGGCUAACUACGUGCCAGCAGCCGCGGUAAUACGUAGGUGGCAAGCGUUGUCCGGAUUUAUUGGGCGUAAAGCGAGCGCAGGCGGUUUCUUAAGUCUGAUGUGAAAGCCCCCGGCUCAACCGGGGAGGGUCAUUGGAAACUGGGAGACUUGAGUGCAGAAGAGGAGAGUGGAAUUCCAUGUGUAGCGGUGAAAUGCGUAGAUAUAUGGAGGAACACCAGUGGCGAAGGCGGCUCUCUGGUCUGUAACUGACGCUGAGGCUCGAAAGCGUGGGGAGCAAACAGGAUUAGAUACCCUGGUAGUCCACGCCGUAAACGAUGAGUGCUAAGUGUUGGAGGGUUUCCGCCCUUCAGUGCUGCAGCUAACGCAUUAAGCACUCCGCCUGGGGAGUACGACCGCAAGGUUGAAACUCAAAGGAAUUGACGGGGGCCCGCACAAGCGGUGGAGCAUGUGGUUUAAUUCGAAGCAACGCGAAGAACCUUACCAGGUCUUGACAUCCUUUGACCACUCUAGAGAUAGAGCUUCCCCUUCGGGGGCAAAGUGACAGGUGGUGCAUGGUUGUCGUCAGCUCGUGUCGUGAGAUGUUGGGUUAAGUCCCGCAACGAGCGCAACCCUUAUUGUUAGUUGCCAUCAUUCAGUUGGGCACUCUAGCAAGACUGCCGGUGACAAACCGGAGGAAGGUGGGGAUGACGUCAAAUCAUCAUGCCCCUUAUGACCUGGGCUACACACGUGCUACAAUGGGAAGUACAACGAGUUGCGAAGUCGCGAGGCUAAGCUAAUCUCUUAAAGCUUCUCUCAGUUCGGAUUGCAGGCUGCAACUCGCCUGCAUGAAGCCGGAAUCGCUAGUAAUCGCGGAUCAGCAC